UACGGAGGGUGCAAGCGUUUAUCCGGAUUCACUGGGUUUUAAAAGGGGUGCGUAGGUGGGUUGGUAAGUCAGUGGUGAAAUCUCCGGGCUUAACCUGGAAACUGCCAUUGAUACUAUCAAUCUUGAAUACCUUGGAGGUGAGCGGGAAUAUGUCAUGUAGCGGUGAAAUGCUUAGAUAUGACAUAGAACACCCAAUUGCGAAGGCAGCUC
Molecule: ribosomal RNA, 210 nt
Filed under: uncultured bacterium
Lineage: Bacteria
Description: partial 16S ribosomal RNA
Rfam family: Bacterial small subunit ribosomal RNA
Source: RNAcentral